UUGCUAGUGAAGAUGAAGAAAGCAGUAACGAAUUGGAAGGUGAUUAUCAGGGAACUCUUCAAAACGAUCCUGAAUGGACUUUUGACACUAUCAAAGCUGCACUUCCUCAAGAAAACUUCGAUACAAUCCGGCCCAUUAAAGCUUCCGACAAAAAAUAUACAUCGCCUUCCUUAUUAGCUGAUACGCUCCGCCAAAGCCGACCCUUCCAUCCCUGUGUCAACUUUUUAAUUGGCUUUUUGGAAAAGACUAAAACUGAGGAAAGUAAUAAUGAAAGAGUUUGCAACGCUAUUGAUCAGUUGCUUGAAAGUCUU
Molecule: long non-coding RNA, 311 nt
Organism: Zophobas morio
Lineage: Eukaryota; Metazoa; Arthropoda; Insecta; Coleoptera; Tenebrionidae
Exons: 3
Source: RefSeq, a predicted model, not a curated record